This is an RNA transcript of Acinonyx jubatus (cheetah), 4274 nucleotides long. It is a transcript of the gene named C-type lectin domain containing 6A, with no coding region annotated. Lineage: Eukaryota; Metazoa; Chordata; Mammalia; Carnivora; Felidae. The record is from RefSeq and is a predicted model, not a curated record. The transcript is spliced from 4 exons.
AAGUUGGUUUCAAAGCAUUGGGGAGCUAUCAUGGCACUGAAGAUUUGAGGCACAUGAAGGUAACAACAUAACCAUGAACAGUGAUCAGCCAUUCUUCCUCUAAUUUCUUGGAAUUAGGUAAUCCCUAGAAUCUUGAUGUAAUCCCAAAGGAUCAUCUGAAGAAUGACUUAUAUGAAAUUUCUUAUCAUCCAGUGUUAUUAUAAGAAACAACAAUAAUAAUCUCUUGAGUUGAAAAUAAUGAGAUGCUCUAUAUUCUGUAUUGUGAGUCUGUAGACCAAAAAUAUCUUAAACACAUUUGUGUGGGAAAAUAUCGGAGUCUAAAUAUCUCUUAGAAGGUAGUGCUUGCCUCCACCUAUUGAUUAAGUUGUCUUUAAAUUCUUAAACAGGAGAAUCAAACUGGGUCUGCUUAGUUCAAUCAUGGACAGUAAUUUUCAAAAGGGCAACACAGUGCUGCUUUCUUAAAAGCAUUUGUUUCAAAUUGCCGAUUCACUCCUGAUGUUCCCUUCCAAAGAGUUCAAGUCAAAAGGACAAUAUGCAUUUUGACUCUAAUAGUAUGUGAUUUUAUUUUCAAUCCGUACAAGUUAUUAUCUUUUCCAUUGCUAGUUUUUGCAUGGCUCCCUUAUUAGACUCAAAUAUCCCAUAUUUGUCUGUACAUCUGACCUGAACCUACCACAAGUCUCCUUUUGAUCUAAUCUCCCAUUCUCCCUAUUAAUUUUUUAUUUUGUUUUUUGUUUUGAUCCUGUUUGCCUUUGCUCAUAUCAUCUCAGCGCUCUAUUCAAAGUCUUGCUACUGUAAUCUAGAAAUGUAUAAGGAAUGAAAAGAACAAAAGAAAAUGGAGCACAGGGCUGCCAGUGGUCAAGACCAGAAAGAGACUUAGGGAGCACAUACUGGAGAUGGGCAAUGAGCAAAUAGCUCUUUAAACUGAUUUUCCUAUAUAUAAAGUUUACAAAUUUUCUUUGGACCAUCUCAUACCUUGGGUUUGUGUUUCUUGAUCUCUGAGGGGAACUGGAGGCAGAUGCAUAUGUUUUAUAACCACUUCUCCUUCCCCUCUUACGACUUGUUGUAUCUCUCUAACCAACCCCAGGGAGAAUUUUCUGGGCUUUUACUACUGUUCUCAAUAUCUGUUUUAUCAUUCACUGUAACUAUGCCAUCACUUUAAAAGCUUGUUGAGUACAGUAUGCACUUAUUCACAUUAGGAUUUUUUUUUUUGUAUUCAAGACUGCUCACUUGAGAAUGUGGAGAUAUUUGUGAUAUUAAUAAAGAGAAAAGUCUACAUUCUAGAGACUGUAUGUUUUGAAGGAUCCCCAAGCUCUUAAUUAGAAGAAAUUAAUGAAGGCUGUCUUUGCUGUUAUACCACUUCAAGCUCCCCCUUACCUACUCAGGGAGAUAAGAAAAGAUGAGUAACCUUGGGGCGCCUGGGUGGCUCAGUCGGUUGAGCGUCCGACUUCGGCUCAGGUCAUGAUCUCACAGUUUGUGGGUUCGAGCCCCGCAUCAGGCUCUGUGCUGACCUCUUGCUCAGAGCCUGGAGCCUGCUUCAGAUUCUGUGUCUCCUUCUCUCUCUGCCCCUCCCCUGCUCACGCUUUGUCUCACUCUGUUUCUCAAAAAUAAAUCAAUGUUAAAAAAAAAAAAAUUAAAAAAAAAAGAUGACUAACCUAUGCCCAAUAUUGGUCUUGAUGCAAUAAGAAUGUUUCAUCGCUUUGCAGAUAGAUUCCAGAAUCUUCCAUUUUACGAUCAUAUUCCUGAGCAAUGUCUAUAGAUCUUUAUGUAAUUUCUAUAUUAACCCUUAUUAUUGAGGCCAUAUCUAGUCAAUCAGACUUUUGCUUACUUCUAAGACCCUCUUCAAUACAUGGAUUAAAAUUUACAUAAAAUCCAAUUUGGCUUGGGAGCACUUAAAUUAAGGCCUACAAAUAAAUUUCUUUUAGGGCAUAUGAAAUUUUCUAUUUUGCACACCAGAAUAGGAAUCAGAAAUCUUAUGUCAGGAAUUGACACAUAAUCUGAAAUUCAUGUCAAAGUUCCAAUGAGCAGUUUGGGAUAUGUUUCUCAAUUUCCUCUUAUUUUUCCCAGUAUUUUUAAAAUAACUUGAAACUUAUCCAAACCACAACUUCUUCUUCAAGACACAGUUUUUACCAGAAGUCCCUUAGCCUCAUAAGAGUGUUUAGCAGUUUGUCUCUGAGCUCUGAUCUCUUUGACUGAAGCAGAGCUCUGGUGACAUCUUCAGAGCAAGUGGUAAAAAAGAGCCUCCUGAAUCUUCUGAAUACAGAAGAUGAUGGUACGAGAAGGGCAACCUCAAGAUAGAGAGAAAGCAGUAUGGCGGUCCCAAGUAAGAUUCUGGUCUGUUGCUGUGAGUUCCAUAGCACUCCUCAGUGCUUGUUUCAUUGUGAGCUGUGUGGUGACUUAUCAUCUUACAUAUGGCAAAACUGGCCAAAGGCUGUCUGAACUACACACACGCCACUCAGGUUUAACCUGCUUCAGUGAAGGGACAAGCAUGAGAGGGAAUGUCUGGGCAUGUUGCCCAUGUGCUUGGAAGUCAUUUGGUUCCAGCUGCUACUUCAUUUCUACUGAGCAGAAUUUUUGGUCAAAGAGUGAACAGAACUGUGUUGCAAUGGGUGCUCACUUGGUGGUGAUCAACACAGAAGCAGAGCAGGUACUUGUGUUUAUUUUUCAUUAAAUUGUUUUUAAUUGUGGAAGAAAAUACGGAUGUUACCAUCUGAACUGGUUUUAAAUGUAGAGUUCAGUAGUGUUACCCAUAUUCAUAUUGUUGCAAAAAGAUCUAUCUCUACAACUUUUUCAUCGUGCAAAAGUGAACUCUAUACCCUUUUAACCACAACUUCCAUUGCCCCCCACCUCCAGUCCCCGGUAACCCCCCUUCUAUCGAACUUCAAUGAGUUUGACUCCUUUGGACACCUCGUAUAAGUUGAACCACACAGUGUUUGGUUUUUUGUGACGGCCUUAUUUCAUGUAACAUAAUGUCCUCAAAGUUCAUUCAUGAUGUAGCAGUAACAGAACUCUCUUCCUUUUUAAGGCUGACUAAUAUUCCAUUGUGCAUAUACCACGUAUCAUUUAUCCAUUCAAGUGUUAAUGAACAUCUGGGCUGCUUUUACCUCUUGGCUAUUGUGACUAAUGCUGCAGUGAACAUGGGUGUGCAAAUGUUUCCAUGAGUCUUGCUUUCAGUAGCUUUGGAUAUAUACCCAGAAGUUGGAUUUCUGGAUCAUAUAGUAAUUCUAAUUUUAACUUAUUUGAAGAAACUGCACCGUUUUACAUUGUGUCUGUACUAUUUUACACUCCCACAAAGAAUGCACAAGGAUCCCAAUUUCUCCACAUUCUUGAUAGCACCUGCUAUUUUCUUCUCUUUUUUAUUAAAAAUAAUUUUUUUUAAAUGUUGAUUUAUUUUUGAGAGACAGAGACAUAGACAGAGCACAAGUCGGGAAGGGGCAGAGAGAGAGAGCAAGAAGGAGACACAGAAUCCAAAGCAGGCUCCGGGCUUUGAGCUGUCCGCACAGAGCCCAAUGGGGGGCUCGAACUCACCAACCAUGAGAUCAUGAGCUGAGCUGAAGUUGGCUGCCUAACUGACUGAGCCACCCAGGUGCCCCUCUUCUCUUUUUUAUUUUGAUAGCGGCCGUCCUAAUGGGUGUGAGAUUAUAUAUUCCAUUAUGGUUUUGAUUUUCACUUCUCUAAUGGUUAGCAAUAGUAAGACUCUGUCAUGUACCCUCGUGCACUGUUGGUGGUAAUGCAAACUGAUGCAGCCUCUGGGGAAAACAGUAUGGAGGUUCCUCAAAAUUAAAAAUAGAAUCACCAUAUGAUCCAGCAAUUGCACUAUUGGAUAUUUACGUGAAGAAUAUGAAAAUGCUCAUUUGAAAGGAUAUAGGCACCCCUAUGUUUACUGCAGCAUUAUUUACAAUAACCAAGAUAUAGAAACAGCCCAAAUGUCCAUAGAUAGAUGAAUGGAUAAAGAAGAUGUGGUAUAGAUAUGUAUGUGUGUGUGUGUGUGUGUGUGUGUGUGUGUGUGUGCGUAUCUCAAUACAUACAUACAUACAUAUGUAUACAUACACCAUGGAUUAUUAUUCAGCCAUAAAAAAGAAUGAAAUCUUGCCAUUUGCAACAACAUGGAUGGAGCUAGAGUAUUAUAAUGCUAAGUGAAAUAAGUCCGUCAGAGAAAGACAAAUUUCACUCAUAUGUGGACUUUAAGAAAAGCAAAACAAAUGAACAUUGGGGAAGGGAAAGAAAAGGAGAGAGGGCAGCAAACCAUGAGAGACUUUUAACUCUAGAGAACAAAC